Brachypodium distachyon (stiff brome) is the source of this 125-nucleotide non-coding RNA. Lineage: Eukaryota; Viridiplantae; Streptophyta; Magnoliopsida; Poales; Poaceae. The record is from Rfam.
AAAGUACUCCCUCCGUCCCAUAUUAAGUGGCUCAAAUUUGUCCAAAUAAGGAUGUAUCUAUACCUAAAAAGCAUGUAGAUACAUGUAAUAUUUCUACACUUAAUAUGGGACGGAGGGAAUACAUU